AAAUGCGAGGGAGGCCGAUUACGUGCCCACUGACGGAGAGGUGCAUCUGGGCAAAGGGAUCACCAUUCCUGAGGGCCUGUACAGCCGCCUCAUGAGCACAAAAAGCGAAACCCGCUUUGUUCGUGAGGCGGCCGUUGCCAUUUAUUCAACGGCAGGCUUGGUUGGGCGGAGUGUAAUUGGAACAGCCUCUAACCAGACAAAGGGAGAGGCAAAACCUCCCUUGGAUAAAGAAAAAUACGCUGUGCUUUCUGAUUUCUUCAACCAUUUUUUGAAAAGCAAUUUUCCAAUUGGAGAGGUCGAGCAAAAGAAGAAGAUACUAAAUAAGGCGCUCGCAAACAAAAUUAACGAUUUGAUGAAAUCAAAAGAUUAAGAAGUCAAUGGAACAUCAAAUAAAAG
This is a long non-coding RNA of Rhipicephalus sanguineus (brown dog tick), 396 nucleotides long. RefSeq lists it as uncharacterized. NCBI's taxonomy places the organism in Eukaryota, Metazoa, Arthropoda, Arachnida, Ixodida, Ixodidae. The transcript is spliced from 3 exons. The record is from RefSeq and is a predicted model, not a curated record.